UCCUUCGGGAGGCAGCAAUGCGGCACUUUUGCACAAUGAAGCCCAGCCCGGAUGCAGACAAUACUUCGUGUAGGAGGAAGGCCUUCGGGUUGUUAAACUCCCUUCAGCGGGGUGGACGCCGCAGAAGAUAAUACCCUCAUCUAUUGCCGUUACCCGCAGAAGAAGCACCGGGUAACUCCGUGCCAGCAGCGCGGUAAUGCGGAGGGUGCCAGCGUGGAUCGAAUUACUGGGCGUAAAGCGCACGCAGGCGGUCUGUCAAGUCGGAUGUGAAAUCCCCGCGCUCAACUUGGGAACUGCAGUCGAAACUGUCAGGCUAGAGUCUUGUAGAGGGGGGUAGAAUUCCAGGUGUAGCGGUGAAAUGCGUAGCCAUCUGGAGGAAUACCGGUGGCGAAGGCGGCCCCCUGGACAAAGACUGACGCUCAGGUGCGAUAGUGUGGGGAGCAAACAGGAUUAGAUACCCUGGUAGUCCACGCCGUAAACGAUGUCGACUUGGAGGUUGUGCCCUUGAGGCGUGGCUUCCGGAGCUAACGCGUUAAGUCGACCGCCUGGGGAGUACGGCCGCAAGGUUAAAACUCAAAUGAAUUGACGGGGGCCCGCACAAGCGGUGGAGCAUGUGGUUUAAUUCGAUGCAACGCGAAGAACCUUACCUACUCUUGACAUCCAGAGAACUUUCCAGAGAUGGAUUGGUGCCUUCGGGAACUCUGAGACAGGUGCUGCAUGGCUGUCGUCAGCUCGUGUUGUGAAAUGUUGGGUUAAGUCCCGCAACGAGCGCAACCCUUAUCCUUUGUUGCCAGCGGUUCGGCCGGGAACUCAAAGGAGACUGCCAGUGAUAAACUGGAGGAAGGUGGGGAUGACGUCAAGUCAUCAUGGCCCUUACGAGUAGGGCUACACACGUGCUACAAUGGCGCAUACAAAGAGAAGCGACCUCGCGAGAGCAAGCGGACCUCAUAAAGUGCGUCGUAGUCCGGAUUGGAGUCUGCAACUCGACUCCAUGAAGUCGGAAUCGCUAGUAAUCGUAGAUCAGAAUGCUACGGUGAAUACGUUCCCGGGCCUUGUACACACCGCCCGUCACACCAUGGGAGUGGGUUGCAAAAGAAGUAGGUAGGCCUUAACCUUCGGGAGGGC
RNAcentral lists this ribosomal RNA (1125 nucleotides) under Enterobacter asburiae. Its description in RNAcentral is "bacterial SSU rRNA". It matches the Rfam family "Bacterial small subunit ribosomal RNA", at positions 337 to 1451 of the family's 1533-position model. Lineage: Bacteria; Pseudomonadati; Pseudomonadota; Gammaproteobacteria; Enterobacterales; Enterobacteriaceae. The record is from RNAcentral.